Long non-coding RNA from Penaeus monodon (black tiger shrimp), 629 nucleotides. RefSeq lists it as uncharacterized. The record is from RefSeq and is a predicted model, not a curated record. Lineage: Eukaryota; Metazoa; Arthropoda; Malacostraca; Decapoda; Penaeidae. The transcript is spliced from 3 exons.
CUUGGAAUGAAAUCGGCCAAACGGUUUAAUUCUGCGCAUUCUGUGUUAAUUAGUUCUAUUCAUUUGUUUGUUGUGAUAUAUCAAAUAUUGAUUAAAACGUCUCUUAUGUGCUAUUGUUUGAAUACAUUUAUAAUUUGAUUUAGACAAUAAGUAAAAAAAUUGCGGAAGUGAAUCGAUAUGUUUAGAGAACAUAUUGUAAACAAACAAGUGUCAGGUGAAACUUGUGAAUGAUCUGCAAUAUUAUCCAAUAUCGGGUUUCACCUGGAUUAUUAGAAGGAUUUUUCAAUCGAACGAUAAUAGAAAAAGCACUAGAGACGCGAUCUCAGGGUCUGAUUGCUUCGUAGGGUAAAAGUAAAGGUGAAAACGACUGAAAAACUUUAUACUCUAUUCUUGGACUGAGAACAUCCCAGACAACACACAGUGCUAUGAAGCUUGAGUAUUGUAGUACACAGUGGAUGCUGAAGAAACACAAAAGUAAAUAGAUCAGUGAUCUGAUUGAGAAGUAGCCACACAAGUGCAUAGGAAUUGAAUAUUGGGAAAUGUUGGAAGGCAGUUUUUAUCAUCUGCUUGAAUCCUUGCUUCCUCCCACCAAGUCCCCAACUGAUCAUCUAGUAAGUAUUAAAUCUUGC